Molecule: non-coding RNA, 279 nt
Organism: Tinamus guttatus (white-throated tinamou)
Lineage: Eukaryota; Metazoa; Chordata; Aves; Tinamiformes; Tinamidae
Source: RefSeq, a predicted model, not a curated record
AAUGGAUAAAAGAGACAACAGAAAGAAUUCCAGCAGCACGACCCUCACUGAAUACGGAGGAGUUAAAGAAACCUUUGGAAGAUACUCUGAAUUUGAAAGAUGAAUGGACCUUAAAAGCACCUGAACUGCAGAAAAUGAAUAGCAGAGGAACAGUGUUGUGCAAUCUAAUUACUGCUGUUACUUCUCCUGCAAAAUCAAGAGCAGCUGCAAAAUCAGGUGGAGCAAUGUUAAAUGGUGAUGGAGGAGCUCCAGGUACUCAGGAUUUUCUGAAAAAUAAAG